ACCGACCUCCUUCAUCAUAACAGUCAAGCCACCGACUCCUCCCCCAACUCCGGCUCCAAGUCACCGCCGACCGACCUCCUCCAUCAAGCCAUCAAGCCACCGACCUCUCCCCCAACUCCGGCUCCAAGUCACCGCCGACCGACCUCCUCCAUCAAGCCAUCAAGCCACCGACCUCUCCCCCAACUCCGGCUCCAAGUCACCGCCGACCGACCUCCUCCAUCAAGCCAUCAAGCCACCGACCUCUCCCCCAACUCCGGCUCCAAGUCACCGCCGGUCGUUAAAGGAGUAUUGGAAUUUUCAAUCGUGCACAAUGCAGCGUUAUUUGCUUCGCUUGCAAUUCAAAGAGGAUUAGUAUUGAUUCAGAUACUGUAUUCAAGAAUGAAAAUUUGCAGACGUGAUGUUUGAUUCAGAUAGAUGCAGGAAUUUGUUGUCUCCUACUUGAUGUAUAAUAGCUGUUGUAACUAAACUAUGUUUGAUUGUAGCUCUGUUAUUACUCACUGAUUGUAACUAAACUAUGUUUGAUUGUAGUUGCUCGUGCAACUUGUCAAUUUGAGAAUGUUUCUCAAAUUCUGCCUUUUGAGUCAAAUUCUAGCUUGUAAUUUUUUUUUGUUUGAAUUUCAUUUGACAGGCU
Long non-coding RNA from Asparagus officinalis (garden asparagus), 631 nucleotides. RefSeq lists it as uncharacterized. The transcript is spliced from 2 exons. Lineage: Eukaryota; Viridiplantae; Streptophyta; Magnoliopsida; Asparagales; Asparagaceae. The record is from RefSeq and is a predicted model, not a curated record.